Molecule: ribosomal RNA, 291 nt
Filed under: uncultured bacterium
Lineage: Bacteria
Description: partial 16S ribosomal RNA
Rfam family: Bacterial small subunit ribosomal RNA
Source: RNAcentral
GACGAACGCUGGCGGCGUGCUUAACACAUGCAAGUCGAGCGGUAAGGCCCUUUCGGGGGUACACGAGCGGCGAACGGGUGAGUAACACGUGGGUGACCUGCCCUCAGCUCUGGGAUAAGCCCGGGAAACUGGGUCUAAUACUGGAUAUUACUCUGCGGUGCAUGCCGUGGGGUGGAAAGCCUUGUGCGGCUGGGGAUGGGCCCGCGGCCUAUCAGCUUGUUGGUGGGGUGAUGGCCACCAAGGCGACGACGGGUAGCCGGCCUGAGAGGGCGACCGGCCACACUGGGACGU